GAGUGAAUUGACCUUGCUGCCUCACUUCCGGGGUGUGCCCUGGCUCAGGCUCCUCUUCCGGUCAGGUCCGGGAUUCGCACCGACCCCACCCGACCACGUGGUGACAGCCACACUGGUGCGGGCCGCAGGCCUGGCCAGGGCCUCCCCUGGCAGGAAGGCGAUGGGCCCAGAGCCCUGGCCUCUCCUCCCCGCCCACCCUCGCCCCCUCUCUCAGCCAUGAGCAGGCACAGGGCCAGCUGCUCAGGUUUGCAAGGGAACCAGAGAAACUGGUUCUCGCCCUCAGGACUUCCUCAAGAGACCAAAAAAAAGGAAGCUAUAGUAUAAAGUUGCUGCCUCCAAAGAUGGAACAGAAGAGAAACUGGUCAUUGAAAAGACUAGCAAGAAAAGCAAAGUAUUUCAGAAGAGGACACUGGAAAAGUUGGCCUGAGGACAUCAUAAGAAAUGGAGGCCUCCAGCCUUUGCAGCCUCCAAGUUGCAAAGGUGAAAAAGACUUUGCUUUGAGAAGAGAGCCCCAGAGCACUAUGUUC
RNAcentral lists this long non-coding RNA (527 nucleotides) under Heterocephalus glaber (naked mole-rat). RNAcentral describes it as "lncRNA (ENSHGLG00000035858.1)". The record is from RNAcentral. Lineage: Eukaryota; Metazoa; Chordata; Mammalia; Rodentia; Bathyergidae.